This 491-nucleotide ribosomal RNA is filed under the name uncultured bacterium. Its description in RNAcentral is "bacterial SSU rRNA". It matches the Rfam family "Bacterial small subunit ribosomal RNA", at positions 29 to 509 of the family's 1533-position model. The record is from RNAcentral.
AGUGAACGCUGGCGGCAGGGCCUAAUACAUGCAAGUCGAACGGCAGCACAGUGGAGCUUGCUCCAUGGGUGGCGAGUGGCGGACGGGUGAGGAAUACAUGGGAAUCUGCCCAGUCGUGGGGGAUAACGUAUGGAAACGUACGCUAAUACCGCAUGCGCCCUUCGGGGAAAGUCGGGACCGCAAGGCCUGACACGAUUGGAUGAGCCCAUGUUCGAUUAGCUAGUUGGCGGGGUAACGGCCCACCAAGGCGACGAUCGAUAGCUGGUCUGAGAGGAUGAUCAGCCACACUGGAACUGAGACACGGUCCAGACUCCUACGGGAGGCAGCAGUAGGGAAUAUUGGACAAUGGGCGCAAGCCUGAUCCAGCCAUGCCGCGUGAGUGAAGAAGGCCCUCGGGUUGUAAAGCUCUUUUGUUGGGGAAGAAAAGCAGUUGGUUAAUACCCGAUUGUUCUGACGGUACCCAAAGAAUAAGCACCGGCUAACUUCGUGCC